Long non-coding RNA from Glossina fuscipes, 1499 nucleotides. RefSeq lists it as uncharacterized. The record is from RefSeq and is a predicted model, not a curated record. The transcript has 3 exons. Lineage: Eukaryota; Metazoa; Arthropoda; Insecta; Diptera; Glossinidae.
GAGGUUCGGCAGAUCAGAUUUUCUGGCAAGAAAUGGUAAUUGGAUGGUAGGUGCCACUGGCGAACUUAAAGAUAGCUUAUGAAGAGUGCAAAGAUGGAUUUGCUGUUAAUCAAGAAUUUCAAAAAAAAAAAACACAUGAGACGGGCAGUGAAAUUGUAGAAAUUAUGCAGAGAUAAAGUAUUCGGCAAUGGCGGCAGAAUCAUUGAACAUCAUAGCUCUUGUCUGCAGCAGUUGAUCCAAACGAAAAUGAAAGCAUUCACAUUGCAACAAGCUGACCGCCUACUUUGACUGCUUUCAAUACCAAAUUUGUUAAGGCGGUCGUGGAAAGAGAACCCGUACUACAUCCCGGAGUACAUUGCUAAUAUUCGCCUUUCAUUUUGUCUCUGAUGUAACAGAGUUUUUAGUUUUUAGAAAGAUAAAGCUUUGUUUUGCGUCUCGGUCUGGAGAACAAAUUGCACAUAAAUAAUAGUGAUCCUGAACAUGCAACGAAAAGACUUUGUUUUUUUACAUGGCUCGAUGUUUUACACAAAGGUAAAAUUAUAGUAUUUAUUUAUUGCGAUACCGUGUUAUGGCGCCAAGUUUCUUGCACACCACUGUACAUUUAAGAAAGCAGCGUAGUUGUAUCAAACGCUGCAUCAAGUGCGAGAAUCUUCAUAAAUUGUAUUGUAGAAAAAGGAAGUCAUCAACUGGACGGUGUCCUCUUACCUUUCGGCGACCUUCGCUGUCUCCGUUGAUAACAUCGCUUGUGGAACUGACAGUACUACUAGCUUUAAGCAACAACAUGAAUGUGGGGACACCCAUAAGCUCAGGUACUCAAAUUAAUGCAUCACUCACCAAAACUUUGACAAUCUAGCACUUAGCGAAGUCCACAAAAAUGUACAGUCGUAAACUAAACAGAAUGGUUAAUAAUGAGCAACAAAUCGUUUUCAAAGUCGGGUCACUUAACCACUGUUCAUAUCGUUUUUAAUACAUCAUAAGUUACAAGCACUUCUUUCAUAUGAAAUUCCUGCGUGCUGUCAGAGAAGCAAGAUAAUUCAUUUAAAAUAUAAUCUAUAUAAUACAAAAUAAAAAAGACUAAAUCGUCAUGAUGCCCUAGCAACAACAACAAUAGCUAGACAUGCAACAAGAGCUACUACAACUACAGCGAGAGCUAAGAAAACAGCAUAUACAGCAACUACCACUGCAGCAGCAACUAGAACAGCAACAGCAGGAGAUGCGAUAAGAACGGCGGCAGCUGCAACGAUAACGGCGGCAACUAAAACAACAACUAACUCCACAACAACAAGAGACACUUCAACAACAAUAGCUACCGCAACAAUAAAAGCAAGAACUGCAGCUACAACAACAACAACAACUAUCUCCACAAGAACGAUGGCAACGGGAGCAAUGGUUAGAGGGGUACCGGCAAGAGGAACAAUGGCAACAGCAGCAAUCGCAACACCAGCAACGGCGACAGGAACAACAGGAGCGACAUUGGGAAUUGCGAAUGCAGCAGUGGC